GGCUGGGUAGCUCAGUUGGUAGAGCAAAGGACUGAAAAUCCUUGUGUCGGCGGUUCAAUUCCGCCCCCCGCCACCA
This 76-nucleotide transfer RNA is filed under the name Caryophanales bacterium. RNAcentral's name for it is "tRNA-Phe". It matches the Rfam family "tRNA". Rfam says of the family: Transfer RNA (tRNA) molecules are approximately 80 nucleotides in length. Their secondary structure includes four short double-helical elements and three loops (D, anti-codon, and T loops). Further hydrogen bonds mediate the characteristic L-shaped molecular structure. tRNAs have two regions of fundamental functional importance: the anti-codon, which is responsible for specific mRNA codon recognition, and the 3' end, to which the tRNAs corresponding amino acid is attached (by aminoacyl-tRNA synthetases). tRNAs cope with the degeneracy of the genetic code in two manners: having more than one tRNA (with a specific anti-codon) for a particular amino acid; and 'wobble' base-pairing, i.e. permitting non-standard base-pairing at the 3rd anti-codon position. Lineage: Bacteria; Bacillati; Bacillota; Bacilli; Caryophanales. The record is from RNAcentral.